Long non-coding RNA from Lotus japonicus, 1051 nucleotides. RefSeq lists it as uncharacterized. The record is from RefSeq and is a predicted model, not a curated record. The transcript is spliced from 3 exons. NCBI's taxonomy places the organism in Eukaryota, Viridiplantae, Streptophyta, Magnoliopsida, Fabales, Fabaceae.
UUUUAUAUUGAAAAGAAAAAUACAGGAACCAGAUGAUCUAAAACUGUAACUCAGCAAGAUAUACUUUCAAUGGUUAAUUUACUCUCCUGACAAAUCAAAGAGGGAACCAUAAAAUCUUCUUAAAACCAUAUAAACAAAAUUCAGAUUCCAGAGAGGAAAAGAGGUGAUACAAGUUGUUCCUCAGAAUAUUGUCCUCCAUCAACCACAGGUCUAUUAACAAAGGAAAAAGAGAGCUCUAAAGGGUUCAACCAGCAGCAACAUUGAGUUGGACUUUGGAAGAGUAAGCCAGCCCAUUAUAGAUAGCAUGAACGAUGAGCCACCACUCAAAACCAUGGUGAUUUGACUCCUUAAUUUUGCCGUCUUGCUUGAACGAAAAUAUUUGUCUAGGGAAGCCUGCAGCAAUUGAUUCCAGCUGGUGAUGGAUCCGGCUGAUAGUGAGCGAAGUCAAAGCUUGGUUUUGUCCUUCAAUGAGGAGAGAAAUUGGGAAAAUUCUUGAUUGGGAUUUAACUGCUAACAUAAGCAGUUCAGCUCAUGUUCAUUGCUGGAUAUGCUAACUGGCUUUCUUGAUGCAUUGACUAUUAUUUUGAACAAUAAAAUAAUAAACUGCUUUGUUGGAAUAUGCUUGUAAAUAAUUUGACUUUCAGAAAGUUGGUACAUUGGUUCUAAAUUUCUUAUCAGGAAGGGUUAACAUCAACAAAUGAUCAUCUAGAUAUGUGCCAUCAUGCUUCAUAUUGAAAAGAAAAAAAUACAGGAACCAGAUGAUCUAAAAUACUAAAACUGUAACUCAGUAAGAUAUGCUCUCAAUUGUUUAUAUACUCUUCUGAUAUAUCAAAGAGGUACUCAUAAAUAAACUCUUCUUAAAACCAUAAAAACAAAAUGAGUUUUGAUACAUUCCUACUAAUUUUCUCUUCCUAUCUGUUCUCAUUUUCCUAAAACAUCACUAAUCAUAUCUCAUAUUUCUUUCUCUUCCAUUCUUAUCUCUCUACAUGUUGGUGGAACUGAGUUGUAAACAAAAAACAUCCAAACAAAAUUCAGAUUCAAGGGAGGAAAG